GAACGACGCCCGGCGUCGCGACGACGAGGCGGGGCCGCCCCGCCGUCGGCCGACGCCGGCACGUCCCGAGGGAAGC
Molecule: unclassified non-coding RNA, 76 nt
Filed under: Boholia sp. NW-2020
Lineage: Eukaryota; Viridiplantae; Streptophyta; Magnoliopsida; Gentianales; Rubiaceae
Description: partial external transcribed spacer
Source: RNAcentral